GCCGGAGUGGCGGAAUCGGUAGACGCAGCGGACUCAAAAUCCGCCGCCCUUAAAAGCGUGCGGGUUCGAGUCCCGCCUCCGGCACCA
This 87-nucleotide transfer RNA is filed under the name Luteimonas yindakuii. RNAcentral's name for it is "Luteimonas sp. S-1072 tRNA-Leu". It matches the Rfam family "tRNA". From Rfam's summary of the family: Transfer RNA (tRNA) molecules are approximately 80 nucleotides in length. The record is from RNAcentral. Lineage: Bacteria; Pseudomonadati; Pseudomonadota; Gammaproteobacteria; Lysobacterales; Lysobacteraceae.